GGAUAUAGUUGUAUACUUAUAAUUAAUGCUUAGAAAUUAAUUGAACUUUGGUAGAAAUGUUUAGGAAUUUUUGUUGAAAUGCUCAGAAAUUAGUUGAAAUUUAGUACAUUUUGUAUAUUAUAUUUUGUAUGUUACAUUUUUUAUAUUACAUUUUGCAUAGUAUAUUUUGUAUAUUACAUUUUGUAUGUUAUGUUUUUUAUAUUCCAUUUUGCAUAGUAUAUUUUGUAUAUUACAUUUUGUAUGUUACAUUUUUUAUAUUAC
RNAcentral lists this long non-coding RNA (261 nucleotides) under Setaria viridis. RNAcentral's name for it is "long non-coding RNA (SVIR_LNC010879)". The record is from RNAcentral. Lineage: Eukaryota; Viridiplantae; Streptophyta; Magnoliopsida; Poales; Poaceae.